UACGGAGGGGGCCAGCGUUGCUCGGAAUUAUUGGGCGUAAAGGGCGCGUAGGCGGCUCGCUAAGUCAGACGUGAAAUCCCUCAGCUUAACUGGGGAACUGCGUCUGAGACUGGCGAGCUUGAGUGCAGGAGAGGAACGCGGAAUUCCAGGUGUAGCGGUGAAAUGCGUAGAUAUCUGGAGGAACACCGGUGGCGAAGGCGGCGUUCUGGACUGUAACUGACACUGAGGAACGAAAGCCAGGGGAGCAAACGGG
This 253-nucleotide ribosomal RNA is filed under the name uncultured bacterium. Its description in RNAcentral is "partial 16S ribosomal RNA". It matches the Rfam family "Bacterial small subunit ribosomal RNA", at positions 524 to 776 of the family's 1533-position model. The record is from RNAcentral.